GGUGGAUAGAUUUUAUAAACAUUUAAGAGAAUGUCUAAUGUUUAUUUUAUGUGCAGUAUUUAUCUAAAAUUUCUUUAAUACGUUUUUUAAGGGCAUUUAUGCGAAAGUAUUAUUUUACAUUAUUUGUAGUGUUUAUCCAGAAUUCUUUUACUGCAUUUUAUUAAAUAUAUUUUAUUCAAGCUUACAGCAGCAAGAACAACUCAAAGGAUGUCAGGUGCUAGCUCCUCUCGAAUUCCUUCGCAAGCACACCCUCAUCAUUCUAACUUCAUCAUCAACCUCGAUCUAGAAACACUAAUCUAAAUCAGUCUUCCAUUUAUCUUGAAAACUUCCCACCCGAUUGGAAUGCAAGGUCCCUAUGGCAUUACUUCUCGCAUUUAGACAACAUAAU
RNAcentral lists this unclassified non-coding RNA (388 nucleotides) under Hevea brasiliensis (rubber tree). Lineage: Eukaryota; Viridiplantae; Streptophyta; Magnoliopsida; Malpighiales; Euphorbiaceae. The record is from RNAcentral.